AGAGAUGCGACAGGUGAAAGCUCCUCCAGGUCCUUAAUUAGGUGCUCCAUAGGAUUUCCCUCCUUUUGCCUUGUCUCCACCGCUUCCACAAUCCCAGUCUCUUCACCCCCACUUAUCUUAUCAUCAUUCAAACCCUUUACGUUGCUUCCCUCCACUUCUUUGCCCUUGCCUCCACCGACAGCUAUCCCUUCACGCGGCAUAGAAGUGUAGGUGGUUUCCCAUGUCCUCUUACUAAGGAUUUUUAUCUCCUUACUCGAACAGUCCUGUCCCUUAUGUCCCCACUUGCAGCAAACAUUGCACCGGGGAGGUAGCCAAGGAUAAUUGACCAAUACUUCGUGUGAAGCUCCAGCUUGGUCCGCGAAAGUGAUCUUUUCGACGAGAGUCUUAUGUAGAUCGACUUCCACUAGGAUUCGGGCCAUGUCGAGCCUCACACAUUUCUCUGUGUUCGGAUGCAGUUUCACAAAAUUUCCCACUGCCCGAACAAGGCACUUCAGUCCUUUAUUGGAAUAGAGGGUGUUUGGUACUCCUCUGAGGUCAACCCAAAGUGGCAUGGCUGACAAGUCUGGGGGAUUCUGAGCUGACUCUGGUGACCAAACAUUAACCACUAACGGAAUAUCCGCUAUAUGCCAAUACUUCCUUUGAAUCACCCUGUUUCUCAUCUGAUCGUUCUCAAUUCGGAACAACACCGUAUUUUUCGCAAUAAACUGGACAUCAAUCUUGGUACCCGCCUUGUGACCAGUCCAAAUACGAUUGACGGUUGCAUGAAUUGAGCCCACGUGUGGAGCGUCUCCAAUGAAGUAGCCCACUACGAAACUUUUCCAAAGAAGCUCCGCCUCGUCAAAGAUCGCAUCUGGGAUUUGCAGUGAUGCAAUCCCAUCAACAAUUUCAAUAACCGGUUCCGCUACUCCUUUUCCGGCCAGGUUCUUUGACCAAGGGCCCGAUCGGACCCGCUCUGCCUGAUUACCUCCGUUCCUCCCCUCCGUGUUUUCUCCGUGUUUUCUCCAUUUUUCCCGGUCAGAGAAUUUCCCGGGAUCGCCUCACCUUCGCGACCCUCCCAAGCUUCACCGCCGUCGAUAGACUGAGCGGUCAGAGUGAGAGAUUUCUCCUUGAUCUCCCCACCAUCGCGUCCCUCCUUAGCCGCACCUCCGACACUCUGUGAAACUCGAUCCGGUGGAGAGAGCUCCGUCGAUCUGAGAAGAGUGUCCGUUUUCUCCAGUGACACCGACGACUCGCCCGUUGGAGCGCUCGCUGCGUCGCCUGGGGCCUCUGUCGUCUUGCUAGGAUCGCCAAGCUCAGAUGCGUUUGGUUCUUCCGGAGUGAUCGUUGGAACGCCCGUGAAUUCGCCGGUGGAGUCGCCCGUGACUGGAUCUCCCGUCGUCGUUGACUCGCCCGUUGGAUCGCCAGUAAAGUCGCCAGUAAAGUCGCCUGUAAAAGGUUUUUUUACAUUGUACGUUCUUUCUAGAAAGAAAAAAACGGUAUCCCCUAGACUAUUUUUGCAAAGUGAUUUAUACACAUGUAGUCACUAAAAUCAUUCUCGCUGGAAAAAAAAGAUGACAUGACACUUAAAAUAGAUGACAUAGUUUUAGAAAAUAGUGAUAUGGCAUCAUAUUAAUUGUGAGAUGCAAAUUUUCUUAUAAAAAUUUAAAUUUUUUUGUAGGGAUUUUAAAUAUGGUAAUAAAAAUAACUCAUAUAUCAUCAUUAAUGUCAAUUUUCCAUAUAAAUAUUUAUUUACGGUAAACUAUUAAAUAUAUUAAUAAUUCAUAUAUCACAAUUAAAAUAAUAAUAUAUAUGUAUAUAUGUAUCUCACAUUAAUAAAAAUAAACUAAAUAAAGUAACAUUAAUCCAAAAAAAUUUUGAUAGUUAAAUAUUUAAACAUUAUUUAAAUUUAUCUGUUCAUCUUCAUCAUUUAAAUUAACAAAAAGAUUUUUCAGUUUAAAUAAAACUAACAAAGUCUCAAAUUUAUUACAAUUUAUAUUUAUAUGUAAAUAUAUUUAUAUAUAUAUAUAUAUAAUUAGAUGGAAAGAUAUAUAUAUAUAUAUAUAUAUAUUUAAAAUAAAUAAUCAUUAAACAAUCUGAGGUCAACCCAAAGUGGCAUGGCUGACAAGUCUGGGGGAUUC
This 2117-nucleotide long non-coding RNA is filed under the name Brassica napus (rape). RNAcentral describes it as "long non-coding RNA (BNAP_LNC011934)". The record is from RNAcentral. Lineage: Eukaryota; Viridiplantae; Streptophyta; Magnoliopsida; Brassicales; Brassicaceae.